UGUUUGAGUCAAAAGAUUCUAGCUGGCAU
RNAcentral lists this non-coding RNA (29 nucleotides) under Mus musculus (house mouse). The record is from RNAcentral. Lineage: Eukaryota; Metazoa; Chordata; Mammalia; Rodentia; Muridae.